GAAAAUCAAAUGAACAAAAAUGUGUCUUAAGUUAGGAUUCCCGAGCCCUUGCCCUGUGCCUGGCCCUGUACCCUGUGUCUUCAGUGCUGCGGAGAAUGCAGCACAGACCCUGCCCUCAAGGCUUACAGUCUAAGGCCUGAAUGACUAUGCCCAGCUCCCUCCCUUAAAAUGAAGGCUGCUAUUCCCAGAAGUCAGGGGCAGCCUGGAACCCAAGAGCCUUGUAUCCCUGUCCAGGGCAUUACAUUUCAUGAAGGCAAGAACAGACCAAAUCCUGUGGACUUUUGGCAGUCUCUGGGGCUUUCAUGUGAACCUGUUUCAACUCCUGAGGCCAAAUAUGCUCUAUGUGUCACCCGGAGAGUCCCAGCUAAGAGGCCAAAUGAGUAAAAUGCAAGACAUGAAGCUGGGAGGGGUCGGAAUGCUGAUCUGACCUCAGGCUGCUGGAGAGAAGUUAACUAGCUUUUUAAAAUUUUUAUUUAUUUUUUUAAGAGAUAGUGUCUUGCUAUAUUGCCCAAGCUGAACUUGACUUCCUGGGCUCAAGUGAGCCUCCUGCCUCAGCCUUCUGAGAAGCUGGGACUACAGAAAUGUGCCACUGCACUUGGCUGGAACCAGCUUUUGAGGCAUUCUUUGCCUCUGAAGAACCUAGGAUGAAGUUCCUCUUACCUGAGGAAGCGGAGAAGCUUCCAGAGGCUUUGACU
This 695-nucleotide long non-coding RNA is filed under the name Homo sapiens (human). RNAcentral describes it as "HSALNT0311796". The record is from RNAcentral. Lineage: Eukaryota; Metazoa; Chordata; Mammalia; Primates; Hominidae.